GAUGAACGCUGGCGGCGUGCCUAAUACAUGCAAGUCGAGCGAACAGAUAAGGAGCUUGCUCCUUUGACGUUAGCCGCGGACGGGUGAGUAACACGUGGGUAACCUACCUAUAAGACUGGAAUAACUCCGGGAAACCGGGGCUAAUGCCGGAUAACAUUUAGAACCGCAUGGUUCUAAAGUGAAAGAUGGUUUUGCUAUCACUUAUAGAUGGACCCGCGCCGUAUUAGCUAGUUGGUAAGGUAACGGCUUACCAAGGCAACGAUACGUAGCCGACCUGAGAGGGUGAUCGGCCACACUGGAACUGAGACACGGUCCAGACUCCUACGGGAGGCAGCAGUAGGGAAUCUUCCGCAAUGGGCGAAAGCCUGACGGAGCAACGCCGCGUGAGUGAUGAAGGUCUUCGGAUCGUAAAACUCUGUUAUUAGGGAAGAACAAAUGUGUAAGUAACUGUGCACGUCUUGACGGUACCUAAUCAGAAAGCCACGGCUAACUACGUG
Molecule: ribosomal RNA, 497 nt
Filed under: uncultured bacterium
Lineage: Bacteria
Description: partial 16S ribosomal RNA
Rfam family: Bacterial small subunit ribosomal RNA
Source: RNAcentral